AAUGAACGCUGGCGGCAUGCCUAAUACAUGCAAGUCGAGCGAACGGUCGGGAAGCUUUCGUCUCUGAGUUUAUCGGCGGACGGGAGAGUAACACGGGGAUAACCUACCUAUAAGACUGGGAUAACUUCGGGAAACCGGAUCUAAGACCGGAUAAUAUUUUGAACUGCAUGGGUCAAAAGUGAAAUACGGUCUUGCUUUCGCUUAUAGAUGAAAACGCGCUGCAUUAGUUAGUUGGUAAGGUAACGGAUUACCAAGGCAACGAUGCAGAGCCGGACCGAGAGGGCGAUCGGUAACACUGGAGCUGGGACACUGAGCCGACUCGGACGGGAGACAGCAGUAGGACAUCUUCCGGAAUGGGCGAAAGGCUGACGGAGCAACGCGGCGUGAGCGAUGACGGUCUUCGCCUCGUAAAACAUUGUUACUAGGGAAUUACAUAUGUGUAAGUACCUGGGUAAAUAUUGAAGGUCCGUAAGAAUAAAGCCACGCUUACCCCGGU
RNAcentral lists this ribosomal RNA (496 nucleotides) under uncultured bacterium. Its description in RNAcentral is "partial 16S ribosomal RNA". It matches the Rfam family "Bacterial small subunit ribosomal RNA", at positions 29 to 506 of the family's 1533-position model. The record is from RNAcentral.